UGAGCAACCUGCCCUUGACUCUGGAAUAACAGUUGGAAACAGCUGCUAAUACCGGAUACGACCUUCGAUGGCAUCAUCUGGAGGUGGAAAGCUCCGACGGUCAGGGAUGGGCUCGCGGCCUAUCAGCUUGUUGGUGAGGUAACGGCUCACCAAGGCUUCGACGGGUAGCCGGCCUGAGAGGGCGACCGGCCACACUGGGACUGAGAUACGGCCCAGACCUCCGUAGGGAGG
This 231-nucleotide ribosomal RNA is filed under the name uncultured bacterium. RNAcentral's name for it is "partial 16S ribosomal RNA". It matches the Rfam family "Bacterial small subunit ribosomal RNA", at positions 118 to 347 of the family's 1533-position model. The record is from RNAcentral.